GUUCGUGGCUUGUCAUCAGUCCUUGGGUGGUUUUCUUUUUGUGUUUUGAGGCACUUAACGCAAAUUUUUGAUGAGGUGGUUUUAGUAAUUUAUUGCGCCUUUAUGAGGUACUUCUUCCCCAGUGGCUCAGCGGUAAAGAAGCCACCUGCGGUGCAGGAGACACAGAGACUCUGGUUCCAUCCUUGGGUUGGGAAGAUCCCCUGGAGGAGGAAAUGGCAACUCACUCCAGUAUUCUUGUCUGGGAAAUCCUAUGGACAGAAAGGAGCCUGUCCAUGGGGUCGCAAAAGAAUCGGACAUAGCUGAGCGACUAAACAAGGACAACGUAUCAGGCACUUCGUUAAGCCUUUUGGGUGCAUUUUUGCAUGUAAUCCUUGGAACAGUCUGAUGAGAUAGGAGUGUGUCUGCCCUCUGAUGCCCUCUUGCAACACCUACCUUGGACUACAAGGAGAGCCAACCAGUCCAUUCUGAAGGAGAUCAGCCCUGGGAUUUCUUUGGAAGGAAUGAUGCUAAAGCUGAAACUCCAGUACUUUGGCCAUCUCAUGCAAAGAGUUGACUCACUGGAAAAGACUCUGAUGCUGGGAGGGAUUGGAGGCAAGAGGAGAAGGGGACUACAGAGGAUGAGAUGGGUGGAUGGCAUCACUGACUCGAUGGAUGUGAGUCUGAGUGAACUCUGGGAGUUGGUGUUGGACAGGGAGGCCUGGCAUGCUGUGAUUCAUGGGGUCGCAAAGAGUCGGACACAACUGAGCGACUGAUCUGAUCUGAUCUGAUGCUUUUGAACUGUGGUGCUGGAGAAGACUCUUGAGAGUCCCUUGGACAGCAAGGAGAUCCCACCAGUCCAUCCUAAAGGAAAUCAGUCUUGAAUAUUCAUUGGAAGGGCUGAUGCUGAAAUUGAAACUCCAGUACUUUGGCCACCUGAUGCGAAGAACUGACUCAUUUGAAAAGACCCUGAUGCUGGGAAAGAUUGAAGGCGGGAGGAGAAGGAGACGACAGAGGAUGAGAUGUUUGGAUGGUAUCACCGACUCAAUGGACAUGAGUUUGAAUAAACUUCAGGAGUUGGUGGAGAGGGAGUCCUGCCGUGCAGUCCAUGGGGUUACAAAGAGUUGGACAUGACUGAGCAACUGGAUUGAACUGAAAGUAAAGGGUU
This is a long non-coding RNA of Bos taurus (domestic cattle), 1144 nucleotides long. NCBI's taxonomy places the organism in Eukaryota, Metazoa, Chordata, Mammalia, Artiodactyla, Bovidae. The record is from Ensembl.